Molecule: ribosomal RNA, 440 nt
Filed under: uncultured bacterium
Lineage: Bacteria
Description: partial 16S ribosomal RNA
Rfam family: Bacterial small subunit ribosomal RNA
Source: RNAcentral
CCUACGGGGUGCAGCAGUGGGGAAUAUUGCACAAUGGGGGAAACCCUGAUGCAGCGACGCCGCGUGAGCGAUGAAGUAUUUCGGUAUGUAAAGCUCUAUCAGCAGGGAAGAAAAUGACGGUACCUGACUAAGAAGCCCCGGCUAACUACGUGCCAGCACCCGCGGUAAUACGUAGGGGGCCAGCGUUAUCCGGAUUUACUGGGUGUAAAGGGGGCGUAGACGGCUGUGCAAGCCAGAUGUGAAAGCCCGGGGCUCAACCCCGGGACUGCAUUUGUAACUGUGUGGCUGGAGUGUCGGAGAGGCAGGCGGAAUUCCUAGUGUAGCGGUGAAAUGCGUAGAUAUUAGGAGGAACACCAGUGGCGAAGGCGGCCUGCUGGACGAUGACUGACGUUGAGGCUCGAAAGCGUGGGGAGCAAACAGGAUUAGAUACCCCAGUAGUC